This 253-nucleotide ribosomal RNA is filed under the name uncultured bacterium. RNAcentral's name for it is "partial 16S ribosomal RNA". It matches the Rfam family "Bacterial small subunit ribosomal RNA", at positions 524 to 776 of the family's 1533-position model. The record is from RNAcentral.
CACGUAGGGGGCGAGCGUUGUCCGGAAUCAUUGGGCGUAAAGAGCUCGUAGGCGGCGCGGUAAGUCGGGUGUGAAAUCUCGGAGCUUAACUCCGAAACUGCAUUCGAUACUGCCGUGCUUGAGGACUGGAGAGGAGACUGGAAUUUACGGUGUAGCGGUGAAAUGCGUAGAUAUCGUAAGGAAGACCAGUGGCGAAGGCGGGUCUCUGGACAGUUCCUGACGCUGAGGCACGAAGGCCAGGGGAGCAAACGGG